GGCCACCUUCGGGGGGCUUUACCAAAGGCGUUAAAAUGCCGACAUAGCAAACGGAAGACAGAAA
This 64-nucleotide non-coding RNA is filed under the name unclassified sequences. RNAcentral describes it as "L2-Alphaproteobacteria ribosomal protein leader". It matches the Rfam family "L2-Alphaproteobacteria ribosomal protein leader". The record is from RNAcentral.